CUCAGACAGACCUGGAGCAGUUCAUGUCUGCUGCUAAGGUUUCCAGAAAAAGAAGGUCCUUGUGCUUUCUGUCUGGUUGUGGCAGCCAAGAUUGAAUGGGGGAAUACAGGA
RNAcentral lists this small nucleolar RNA (111 nucleotides) under Dasypus novemcinctus (nine-banded armadillo). Its description in RNAcentral is "Small nucleolar RNA SNORA31 (ENSDNOG00000029995.1)". Lineage: Eukaryota; Metazoa; Chordata; Mammalia; Cingulata; Dasypodidae. The record is from RNAcentral.